This 1499-nucleotide ribosomal RNA is filed under the name metagenome. RNAcentral describes it as "bacterial SSU rRNA". It matches the Rfam family "Bacterial small subunit ribosomal RNA". The record is from RNAcentral.
AGAGUUUGAUCAUGGCUCAGAUUGAACGCUGGCGGCAGGCCUAACACAUGCAAGUCGAACGGUAACAGGAAACAGCUUGCUGUUUCGCUGACGAGUGGCGGACGGGUGAGUAAUGUCUGGGAAACUGCCUGAUGGAGGGGGAUAACUACUGGAAACGGUAGCUAAUACCGCAUAACGUCGCAAGACCAAAGAGGGGGACCCUCGGGCCUCUUGCCAUCGGAUGUGCCCAGAUGGGAUUAGCUUGUUGGUGGGGUAACGGCUCACCAAGGCGACGAUCCCUAGCUGGUCUGAGAGGAUGACCAGCCACACUGGAACUGAGACACGGUCCAGACUCCUACGGGAGGCAGCAGUGGGGAAUAUUGCACAAUGGGCGCAAGCCUGAUGCAGCCAUGCCGCGUGUAUGAAGAAGGCCUUCGGGUUGUAAAGUACUUUCAGCGGGGAGGAAGGGAGUAAAGUUAAUACCUUUGCUCAUUGACGUUACCCGCAGAAGAAGCACCGGCUAACUCCGUGCCAGCAGCCGCGGUAAUACGGAGGGUGCAAGCGUUAAUCGGAAUUACUGGGCGUAAAGCGCACGCAGGCGGUUUGUUAAGUCAGAUGUGAAAUCCCCGGGCUCAACCUGGGAACUGCAUCUGAUACUGGCAAGCUUGAGUCUCGUAGAGGGGGGUAGAAUUCCAGGUGUAGCGGAGAAAUGCGUAGAGAUCUGGAGGAAUACCGGUGGCGAAGGCGGCCCCCUGGACGAAGACUGACGCUCAGGUGCGAAAGCGUGGGGAGCAAACAGGAUUAGAUACCCUGGUAGUCCACGCCGUAAACGAUGUCGACUUGGAGGUUGUGCCCUUGAGGCGUGGCUUCCGGAGCUAACGCGUUAAGUCGACCGCCUGGGGAGUACGGCCGCAAGGUUAAAACUCAAAUGAAUUGACGGGGGCCCGCACAAGCGGUGGAGCAUGUGGUUUAAUUCGAUGCAACGCGAAGAACCUUACCUGGUCUUGACAUCCACGGAAGUUUUCAGAGAUGAGAAUGUGCCUUCGGGAACCGUGAGACAGGUGCUGCAUGGCUGUCGUCAGCUCGUGUUGUGAAAUGUUGGGUUUAGUCCCGCAACGAGCGCAACCCUUAUCCUUUGUUGCCAGCGGUCCGGCCGGGAACUCAAAGGAGACUGCCAGUGAUAAACUGGAGGAAGGUGGGGAUGACGCCAAGUCAUCAUGGCCCUUACGACCAGGGCUACACACGUGCUACAAUGGCGCAUACAAAGAGAAGCGACCUCGCGAGAGCAAGCGGACCUCAUAAAGUGCGUCGUAGUCCGGAUUGGAGUCUGCAACUCGACUCCAUGAAGUCGGAAUCGCUAGUAAUCGUGGAUCAGAAUGCCACGGUGAAUACGUUCCCGGCCCUGUACACACCGCCCGUCACACCAUGGGAGUGGGUUGCAAAAGAAGUAGGUAGCUUAACCUUCGGGAGGGCGCUUACCACUUUGUGAUUCAUGACUGGGGUGAAGUCGGAACAAGGUA